CUGCGGAUGGCUCAUUAAAACAGUUAUAAUCUACCCGGCUUUUAUUGUGGUUCAGUGGUUGUUUCGACAUCCAGUGUUCUACUCUAUAAGGAUAACCGAGGGAAAUCUGUGGCUAACACUUGCAAUAAAAGGAUUCCUUCUUACCGUUUGGACGUUGACGGGUUCGCCCCGAUGCGCUCAUCUGGCUGAGGGUUUCCUAGACUUACUUGACCAUAAUCCUAGUCUUCGGGCUAGGACAAUACCCGCACGGUUACUACCAUGCGUUCCCAUCGAGGAAGCAGAGUAAUUUUCUAGAUCGACAUCGGUUCCUUCAUCGGGUUCCACGUCGACGGACCGGGAGAAUUUCUGACCUAUCAACUAUGAUGGUGGGGUAGCGGCCUACCAUGGUUAUGACGGGUAACGGGGAAUUAGGGUUCGAUUCCGGAGAGGGAGCCUGAGAAAUGGCUACCAUUCCCAUGGAAAGCAGCAGGCGCGUAAAUUACCCAAUUUCGAUUCAAAGAGGUAGUGACAAGAAAUACCGUUUUGGUUUCCAUCUGGAAUCCACAUAUGGAAUGAGUAAGGUUUAAAAUACCCUACAAGGAACAAUUGGAGGACAAGUCUGGUGCCAGCACCCGCGGUAAUUCCAGCUCCAAUAGCAUAUGUUAAAUUUGCUGUAGUUAAAAAGCUCGUAGUUGGAUGAAAUAAUUUCGAGGGUUUCUAGGAGCAGAAGUCUUUACUACUUGUACUGACUAUUGUGUCUUUGAUUCCCGAGGAUUAUUAGUGUCGUUGGAUGCCGACGGUGUUCUUCCACUACCCGGGUUCGCCUAGGUGUGGUCAGACCCGUCGUGUCAUCCUUCGUCUACACAUAAGCUUUGAAAAAAUUAGAGUGUUUAAAGCAGGUUUAUUCCUAUAUAAAAUCACAUAGAACUUCGAAAAAGGACAUACUGGACAAGUGGUAUUUAUCCAUUGUUUGUACAUGAUAAAUAGGGACAAUCGGGGUCGUUCGUAUUGAUCCGGGAGAGGUGAAAUUCUAAGAUCGGAUCAGGACGUACAACUGCGAAAGCAUUCGACAAGGAUGUUUUCAUUAAUCAAGAACGAAAGUUAAGGGAUCGAAGAUGAUCAGAUACCGUCGUAGUCUUAACUAUAAACUAUAUCAACCAUACGUUCCGGGACGUUGUUUUGGACUCCCAAAGCGUUAUAUGAGAAAUCUCGAGUAUGAUUCUAGGGGGAGUAUGGUCGCAAGGCUGAAACUUAAAGGAAUUGACGGAAGGGCACAACCAGGAGUGGAAUCUGCGGCUUAAUUUCACUCAACCGGGGAAAACUUACCAGGUCAGGACAUGAGUAGGAUUGACAGAUUGAUUGUUCUUUCAUGAUUUCAUGGAAAGUGGUGCAUGGCCGUUUUUAGUUGGUGGAUUGGUUUGUCUGGUUAAUUCCGUUAACGAGCGAGACCUCUUCCUGCUAACUAGGAUGGACAAAUAACGACUUGCGAUUCAUUUCCGGUUCGCCGGUCAUGAUAGCUUGUCAGUAUUAGUGAUUAGUCAUUCUUCUUAGAGGGACCUAUAUCGGCAAUUAAAGGAAGGUCGAGGCAACAACAGGUCUGUGAUGCCCUUAGAUGUUCUGGGCUGCACGCGGGUUACACUGGUAACGAGAAAAGGUUAAAGAGCAACGGUCUGCGCGCGCGGUCUCCGGAUCACGUCGCUGCCGUAGUACCUUACCAUGAAAAAUGGUAGGGAACCCUUAAUCGUGCUCCAAGACUGGGAUAGUAUCUUGCAACUAUUGUUCUUAAACGAGGAAUUCCUAGUAAGCGUAGGUCAUUAACCUGCGUUGAUUACGUCCCUGCCCUUUUGUACACACCGCCCGUCGCUCCUACCGAUUGAACGAUCCGGUGAGGCCUCAGGAUGAUGUGGUUCUGGUCGACCGAAAGGCUAAUCAGUUCCAUCUUCAAAAUUUUGGUCAAAUCUUAUCGUUUAGAGGAAGGAGAAGUCGUAAA
RNAcentral lists this ribosomal RNA (1969 nucleotides) under Difflugia alhadiqa. RNAcentral's name for it is "SSU rRNA". It matches the Rfam family "Eukaryotic small subunit ribosomal RNA". The record is from RNAcentral. Lineage: Eukaryota; Tubulinea; Elardia; Arcellinida; Difflugiidae.